GUAAGGAAUAUUGGUCAAUGGGCGGAAGCCUGAACCAGCCAUGCCGCGUGCAGGACGACGGCCCUACGGGUUGUAAACUGCUUUUGCCCGGGAAUAACCCCCCGCUCUUGAGCGGGGCUGAACGUACCGGGAGAAUAAGGAUCGGCUAACUCCGUGCCAGCAGCCGCGGUAAUACGGAGGAUCCGAGCGUUAUCCGGAUUUAUUGGGUUUAAAGGGUGCGUAGGCGGCCCGUUAAGUCAGGGGUGAAAUACGGCAGCUCAACUGUCGCAGUGCCCUUGAUACUGACGGGCUUGAAUACCGGUGAAGGCGGCGGAAUGAGACAAGUAGCGGUGAAAUGCAUAGAUAUGUCUCAGAACCCCGAUUGCGAAGGCAGCUGCCUAACCGGCGAUUGACGCUGAUGCGCGAAAGCGUGGGGAUCGAACAGGAUUAGAAACCCCUGUAGUCC
Molecule: ribosomal RNA, 445 nt
Filed under: uncultured bacterium
Lineage: Bacteria
Description: partial 16S ribosomal RNA
Rfam family: Bacterial small subunit ribosomal RNA
Source: RNAcentral